Molecule: ribosomal RNA, 675 nt
Filed under: uncultured archaeon
Lineage: Archaea
Description: bacterial SSU rRNA
Rfam family: Archaeal small subunit ribosomal RNA
Source: RNAcentral
UCCGGUUGAUCCUGCCAGAGGCCGCUGCUAUCCGGCUGGGACUAAGCCAUGCUAGUCUAGGGGCUUGUACCCCUUCGGGGGUGCAAGCACCGGCGGACGGCUCAGUAACACGUGGACAACCUGCCCUCGGGUGGGGGAUAACCCCGGGAAACUGGGGCUAAUCCCCCAUAGGUGAUGGGUGCUGGAAUGCCCCAUCUCCGAAAGCGCUCAGCGCCCGAGGAUGGGUCUGCGGCGGAUUAGGUAGUUGGUGGGGUAACGGCCCACCAAGCCUAAAAUCCGUACGGGCUGUGGGAGCAGGAGCCCGGAGAUGGACCCUGAGACAAGGGUCCAGGCCCUACGGGGCGCAGCAGGCGCGAAACCUCCGCAAUGCGGGAAACCGCGACGGGGUUAGCCGGAGUGCCCGUGCAUUGCACGGGCUGUCGGGGUGCCUAAACAGCACCCCAUAGCAAGGGCCGGGCAAGGCCGGUGGCAGCCGCCGCGGUAAGACCGGCGGCCCGAGUGGCGGCCACUCUUAUUGGGCCUAAAGCGUCCGUAGCCGGCCCAGUAAGUCCCCCGGGAAAUCUGGUCGCUUAACGAUCAGACUUCCGGGGGAUACUGCUGGGCUAGGGACCGGGAGAGGCCGAGGGUAUUCCCGGGGUAGGGGUGAUAUCCUGUAAUCCCGGGAGGACCACCUGU